AGAGUUUGAUCAUGGCUCAGAUUGAACGCUGGCGGCAGGCCUAACACAUGCAAGUCGAACGGUAGCACAGAGGAGCUUGCUCCUUGGGUGACGAGUGGCGGACGGGUGAGUAAUGUCUGGGACACUGCCCGAUGGAGGGGGAUAACUACUGGAAACGGUAGCUAAUACCGCAUAACGUCGCAAGACCAAAGAGGGGGACCUUCGGGCCUCGCGCCAUCAGAUGAACCCAUAUGGGAUUAGCUAGUAGGUGAGGUAACGGCUUACCUAGGCGACGAUCCCUAGCUGGUCUGAGAGGAUGACCAGCCACACUGGAACUGAGACACGGUCCAGACUCCUACGGGAGGCAGCAGUGGGGAAUAUUGCACAAUGGGCGCAAGCCUGAUGCAGCCAUGCCGCGUGUGUGAAGAAGGCCUUCGGGUUGUAAAGUACUUUCAGCGGGGAGGAAGGGGUUAAGGUUAAUAACCUUAGCCAUUGACGUUACCCGCAGAAGAAGCACCGGCUAACUCCGUGCCAGCCGCCGCGGUAAUUC
RNAcentral lists this ribosomal RNA (529 nucleotides) under uncultured bacterium. RNAcentral's name for it is "bacterial SSU rRNA". It matches the Rfam family "Bacterial small subunit ribosomal RNA", at positions 8 to 526 of the family's 1533-position model. The record is from RNAcentral.